GAGGAGUGGCUUCCGGAGCUAACGCGUUAAGUCGACCGCCUGGGGAGUACGGCCGCAAGGUUAAAACUCAAAUGAAUUGACGGGGGCCCGCACAAGCGGUGGAGCAUGUGGUUUAAUUCGAUGCAACGCGAAGAACCUUACCGACUCUUGACAUCCACGGAAUUUGGCAGAGAUGCCUUAGUGCCUUCGGGAACCGUGAGACAGGUGCUGCAUGGCUGUCGUCAGCUCGUGUUGUGAAAUGUUGGGUUAAGUCCCGCAACGAGCGCAACCCUUAUCCUUUGUUGCCAGCGAUUAGGUCGGGAACUCAAAGGAGACUGCCAGUGAUAAACUGGAGGAAGGUGGGGAUGACGUCAAGUCAUCAUGGCCCUUACGAGUAGGGCUACACACGUGCUACAAUGGCAUAUACAAAGAGAAGCGACCUCGCGAGAGCAAGCGGACCUCAUAAAGUAUGUCGUAGUCCGGAUUGGAGUCUGCAACUCGACUCCAUGAAGUCGGAAUCGCUAGUAAUCGUGGAUCAGAAUGCCACGGUGAAUACGUUCCCGGGCCUUGUACACACCGCCCGUCACACCAUGGGAGUGGGUUGCAAAAGAAGUAGGUAGCUUAACCUUCGGGAGGGCGCUUACCACUUUGUGAUUCAUGACUGGGGUGAAGUCGUAACAAGGUAACCAAU
Molecule: ribosomal RNA, 670 nt
Filed under: uncultured bacterium
Lineage: Bacteria
Description: bacterial SSU rRNA
Rfam family: Bacterial small subunit ribosomal RNA
Source: RNAcentral